This 31-nucleotide non-coding RNA is filed under the name Mus musculus (house mouse). Lineage: Eukaryota; Metazoa; Chordata; Mammalia; Rodentia; Muridae. The record is from RNAcentral.
UAGCAGAGCCUAUGUAUUCUAUCUUCUUUGC